GACGAACGCUGGCGGCGUGGAUUAGGCAUGCAAGUCGAACGGUAGGAUACCUUCGGGUAUCUGAGAGUGGCGAACGGGUGAGUAACACGUAGGUGAUCUACCCUCAAGAUUGGGACAACCCAGGGAAACUUGGGCUAAUACCGGAUGAAAGCAGCAGUGAUGUUGUUUGAAAGGUGGCGUAAGCUGCCGUUUGGGGAUGAGCCUGCGCUCUAUUAGUUAGUUGGCGGGGUAAAGGCCCACCAAGGCGAUGAUAGAUAGGCGGCCUUAACGGGUGGUCGCCCACACUGGGAUUGAGAUACGGCCCAGACUCCUACGGGAGGCAGCAGUCGAGAAUAGUCUACAAUGGCCGAAAAGGCUGAUAGUGCGACGCCGCGUGAACGAAGAAGCCCUUCGGGGGUGUAAAGUUCUUUUAUAUGUGAGCAGUGCUUUCUAUGUGAACAGCAUGGGGAAGAGAUAUUAGCAUAUGAAUAAGCGACGGCUAACUCCGUGCCAGCACG
This 497-nucleotide ribosomal RNA is filed under the name uncultured bacterium. RNAcentral's name for it is "bacterial SSU rRNA". It matches the Rfam family "Bacterial small subunit ribosomal RNA", at positions 28 to 515 of the family's 1533-position model. The record is from RNAcentral.